This 446-nucleotide ribosomal RNA is filed under the name uncultured bacterium. RNAcentral describes it as "bacterial SSU rRNA". It matches the Rfam family "Bacterial small subunit ribosomal RNA", at positions 331 to 793 of the family's 1533-position model. The record is from RNAcentral.
CCAGACUCCUACGGGAGGCAGCAGUGGGGAAUAUUGCACAAUGGGGGGAACCCUGAUGCAGCGACGCCGCGUGAAGGAAGAAGUAUCUCGGUAUGUAAACUUCUAUCAGCAGGGAAGAAAGAGGACGGUGCCUGACUAAGAAGCCCCGGCUAACUACGUGCCAGCAGCCGCGGUAAUACGUAGGAGGCGAGCGUUAUCCGGAAUGACUGGGCGUAAAGGGUGCGUAGGUGGUUUGGCAAGUUAGUAGCGUAACUCCAAGGCUCAACCUUGGAACUACUACUAAAACUGUUGGACUUGAGUGCAGGAGGGGCAACCGGAAUUCCUAGUGUAGCGGUGGAAUGCGUAGAUAUUAGGAGGAACACCAGUGGCGAAGGCGGGUUGCUAGACUGUAACUGACACUGAGGCACGAAAGCGUGGGGAGCAAACAGGAUUAGAUACCCUAGUAA